This 492-nucleotide ribosomal RNA is filed under the name uncultured bacterium. RNAcentral's name for it is "partial 16S ribosomal RNA". It matches the Rfam family "Bacterial small subunit ribosomal RNA", at positions 29 to 507 of the family's 1533-position model. The record is from RNAcentral.
AGUGAACGCUGGCGGUAGGCCUAACACAUGCAAGUCGAACGGCAGCACAGUAAGAGCUUGCUCUUACGGGUGGCGAGUGGCGGACGGGUGAGGAAUACAUCGGAAUCUACUUUUUCGUGGGGGAUCACGUAGGGAAACUUACGCUAAUACCGCAUACGACCUACGGGUGAAAGCAGGGGAUCUUCGGACCUUGCGCGAUUGAAUGAGCCGAUGUCGGAUUAGGUAGUUGGCGGGGUAAAGGCCCACCAAGGCGACGAUCCGUAGCUGGUCUGAGAGGAUGAGCAGCCACACUGGAACUGUGACACGGUCCAGACGCCUACGGGAGGCAGCAGUGGGGAAUAUUGGACAAUGGGCGCAAGCCUGAUCCAGCCAUACCGCGUGGGUGAAGAAGGACUUCGGGUUGUAAAGGCCUUUUGUUGGGAAAGAAAAGCAGCAGGUUAAUAACCCGCUGUUCUGACGGUACCCAAAGAAUAAGCACCGGGUAACUUCGUG